CGCGCGCGCGUGUUUCCUCUGCUCCUUUUGAGCCAUUGUGCUUAACUGAAUUUUAUAACGCUGAUCGAUAUCUUGGUAAAAUAUUCAUUUUUAAACUAGCGGGCAGUGAAAUCUUUGCUUUGUGCUAAAGUCAACAGUCGCUCCAAUAAAUGCAGCGAUGCCUUUCCGCGGAAUUGCAGACGGUGGGGUAUCUGGCUUGUCAUCUGCGAUCUGCAGCUCUCUGGCAUCAGGUGCCUGUUGUGAAGCCAGCUCACAUUCACAGUACUCCAGACCCUCAUGCCAGACACAAGAUAUACAUUCGUUCAACUCAGACAUAGAAUCGACAUCUUCAUGAGGAAGAGAUACCUUCAAGAGUCAGAUUUCCCCCAGCCCCUCCAUCUCAGCUGGAGAAAGAAAAGUUUUGAUUCUUUGAAAACAGAGGCUUAAACUGAGUCUGGGAUAACAAAAAGAAGAGAAUGUCCUUAAAAGUUGGACUCUACAAGAAGCUGAAAAAGUUCAACCUAUGUGGCUUGGAUUGCAUGGGUCUUCCACAGCUAAAUAUUAUUUGGGGGGAAGAAAUGGGAAGGACACACACGACAGUAUCUAUUUUCAUAUGACCAUCACCUUGUUCCUACAGUCAGGCUGUAAUGUGGAAUUUCUGAAAUGAUGACAGCGACAACCCUGAGCCCAGAAAUGUUAGUGUUUCUCUUUCCGUUUGGUGAUACCUUGUGAACUGCUCAGGAUUCACUGUAAGUGCUUUAUAUUUAGCCAGUAUAAUCUAUAGUAUAGUUAGGCUGGCAAUUUGAGGAGAAAAAAAGCAGCAGAAUAGGUGAAAAGAAACGGGUGGGGGGAAAAGAACAAAAAGGGGAAAUGUUAUUGAUAAACAUAUUCUGGACAUUUGGUGCACAUUUUGGCUGCUCCAGCUUAAAGCAAUUAAUUCACUAUACUGACAUUAACUCUCUAGCAUGUUGACAGCUUGGAGCUGGAAGUAAAAAUGCUAGUUCUCCAGGGAAAAGAGAAGGCUAGUUGGCUCUUUUUCUGGACUGUUUGCUUAUAGGCCCAGAGAGCAAUCUUCCUUGCAGAAUGAAAUGCAAGGACACAAACAAUGUACCAGGGAGAGAAUAGAAGAUGGGAAUGAACAGUUUGAACUAUUUGCUCAGCAGAAGGGCAGCCACAAUUGCCGGCCAAUGGCUUUCCCAUGCAUCAGCCAGGGCUUCUUAGCCUCCUUUGUUGUGGUGGUUCUUCCUCGAGCCAGAUAAGAACACAGCUGCAGCAAUUCCAGCUAACCUGGGGCCUGGGUUUAUUCACCAAAGUCUCCAUUCAUGCUUACUGUACUGUAUUUAUUUACUGUCAGUGUUUCUGGCCCAUUUUUUAAAAAUGGAUUUAGUAUUUCCACACCCCACCCCCAGAUCUCAAGCCAAAUUCUGCUGAAAAUUUUAAAUACUCCACCAGCUAUCUGCUAUUUUGAUGAAUAGUUCCCACUUCCUGUACUUUCUCAACGCGAUGGAAGAAGUUACAGACUGAAAUCACUUAGAGAAUGUUCUCCACUUUGAGUUCAAUUGAUUUUAAUAGCUUAGUACUGCACAAUCUCUCCCCUUGUAUUCAGGUAGAUUUUGCUUCCUUGGAGCUAUAUCAGUUCUGCAUUGCAUGUUUAUUCAGAAAUAAAUUGCAUUUUGUUCAGUGGUGUUUACAUUCAAAUAAAUAUGUUUAGCACUGUGGACUUAAAGCUUUCAAGUUUGGAUAGACAAGAUUCAAAAUAAGGCUCCUAUAUAAGCAAUAUGUUUUAAGGACAUGCUGUAGCUACUUUUUUUAAUACUUGAUGACAAUGAAAUAAAAUCCUUCUCAGAGAAAAUAUAGUGUAGUAAUUUUAUUCUCUGAUAUUUUACUUCCUGCUCAGCCAUUUUCAGUGUUGGAAGGGCAGUUUUGGUAUGCCUUCAUAGUGAAGUGGGAUAGAGAACCCACAGAUACAAUGAUUCAAAUAUGCAAAGAACCAAUAGCAUUGAAUAUGACAACCCCUACAUGUACAUGUGUAAAAGGCAACAUUCACUAAUAAAGGAUAUCUGCUGUAUUGCUAGAUUCAUUCUGGAGUUCACAGCAUAUCAAUAUAUUGUUAAUAUGAUAAAAUAAUGCACAGGGUUUGUAGAUGGAUAUUUUUUAUUUAUUUUAUUUAUUGAAAAAAGUAUAAAUGUUUAUAUGAAUGUUGAUUCCAUCUGAAACAUGCAGCAGGCCAUCAGUAAGUAAAGUACCUACCUUACCGUACAUAUUUACUUAUAUUUACUUUAGAGUGAUUGAUGUAUUUUGCCUUUUAGACAUUUAACUCUGUGAUCCUUUGUACCACUAUUACAAAUAACAAGCAUGAAAUGCUUGCAGUAGCAAUUUUUCAGCAAGUCUGCUGCACUGAAGACCUGAUCUCUACUUCCAACAAUAUGCAAAGCUUUAUUUCUUUAUUUUUAAACUAUGGACUGUUUGAUAUUACAAGUUAAAACAAAGGCACAAUGAAAGCCUGGACAUCAUUCCCAGGAAAUGCAGUCACAUGUAUUAGAUAUUUUGGUGAGUAACAAUAAGAGCUAAUAAAAAAUAGGGCCAGAGAAUCCUUUUUGGAAUGAAGGAAGAAUAAUGGAAAUGAUGAUCCAUUGUGCAAAAUGCACAUCAUGGCUACUAACUUUAAUUAAACCAAUUCCAGAAAGAUUUGUGUUGAUGCUCAAGUGUACUUUGAAAACGCCAUUCAAAUGUUUCCGAAUCACUGACCUUAAAACUUCAAAAAGUUUUUGCAGCUUAUAUAUAUCAACAUAGUGCACUUAUUAAAAAUGUCAAGUCUCUGCUUCAGUUCCAUAUUUGUAUGUGUCUAUGUAUGUAUAAUUUCUUUAGUUUAAAUUUAAAUUUCAAAUGCUAUGCUUUUUUCUCUAAAAAGCUACUUUUGUCAAAAUGUUAGUUUAAAUGAGAUGAAAUGAUUAUCUAAGGUGAAAAGACAUGUUUAAAGGGGGGAAAAAACCCAGCAUCACAUAAUGAUUUGUUGUGAUCAUGUUGAACAUGUCAGCAAAGGAUCAGCCCCAUAGGAAACAAAGUUUACACAGUUUUUUUCCAGAGUGAAAUUGCCCUAACCUCAGGGAUUUUUCUUCUACUGGGUGGUCAGGAGGAAAGGCUGAAAGGCAAAAGGGCUCCUAUUGUCUCAGAUGAAUCCUAAGAACUGACCUCACGUGCCUCUAAAAAGAAGAAAGCACCUGUUUAUCUCCAGUCAUCCCCUGCUUUGGUGAGCUCCAUGCUGCCACCACCAAGACAGAGCCUUCUGCUGGGGGAAAAGAAGUCUCUCUAAAAGUGCUUUGAAAAACACUUCAGCCUGGGUCCAAUUACAGAUAUGCACAACAAUGCAUGGAGAUCUCAAGAUUGACUCAGGAUGCUCAUUUGUAAACCUUCUGGAAAUGCUUAGCUCACCCAGAGCAGGAAAUGUGAAUAGGAGCCGUACUGAAGAUCAGACUGCAAGGGCAAUGCGCAUCCAGAUGUGCACGCACACGUGUGUUUCUCCUGUUUGGGGUUUUAUGUGUGUAGGUUUCUCAGUCAACUAACCUCACCAAAAGGCAGGUGUGCACCCUGCACAACUGAAAAUUUUAUUUCCACCCUUUUUUAGGCAGGUGUGUACGUGCAUGAAGGAGGAAGGGAGAGAAACUCUGAGCGUAACAGCUUUUUAAAUAAAAAAAAUCAACGUUCUGUGGAAUUGGCCAUCAUCAGCAACAAAUACCAAAGGACAGUGGUUCUCAGAUGAACUAUCUUCCUCAUCUUUGUGCCUCUGUAGGGAUUAUAAAAGCUGAAGUCCAAUUUAUCCAGAGGGCACCAGGUUAGGGAAGGCUGCAUCGCUCUACUAAUCCUGCUAUCUCUCUUAAGCAACGUGAACAAUGCUUGGAGCCCUGCCCUGGGAGCCUAAGCUUCCCCAGACUCUCCCCCAAGUCUCAGCCAUUUUCUGCCUCCUCCCAGAUCUUCAUAUAAUUCAAGACCAGGAGAAAGAAAACACUCUCCUGGUUGACAAGGGAAGGAAAGUGAGUUGUUUGUGAAGAAAGAGAACUAUCAUAGAAUAAAAGCUGAAUGGAGGGGAAGCAUGGGAAUAGGAGAAAGCGUGGGAAGAGAAGGGCAUGCACAGAGAAAGUGUGGAGGAGAGGAGGUGGAUGGAAGCAAGUUGGAGAACAGGGUAGAUAAAACGGUUGUAAAAGUUUGUGUGGACAGGUGUGGAAGAGGGAGGGAGAGAAGAGAAGGGAGUGUUUAGGGCAUAUUGCACAUUCCUGAGAGAAAAGUGAACUAGGCAUAUUUUUGUGGAAGGAAGGAAGGAAGGAAGGAAGGAAGGAAGGAAGGAAGGAAGGAAGGAAGGAAGGAAGGGGCAAAUGAUUGCAUACUGAAUAAACGAAAGCCGAGGGAUCUGCCGGGGGAGGGGGAUGAUGAAAGCAGCAUCAUGUCAUUGUGAUGCAAGCUCCCUGCUUUUGUGUGGGCAUGAUGAUGUCACAGUUUGAUGAAAGCCUCCAAACCUGUGGAUGUUUCUGAAGUGGAAAACAGUGCCAUUCCUACUGACCUGAGACUUUAAUUCUGCCCAUAUUGGGGUAGGACCUGACUAUCUUUAAGAGAUGUAGGGAUUACCGAGAUGGCUUUGAAGAAAGCAUUGAACAGCUGUUGAGGGAAUGAGGAAGAAACUCAAGAUUGCCUGCCUCGGUAUACGAGGUGGGGAGAGAAUGCCUGUCAAGCUUUAAAGAUUUUGUUAUUAUACCCUGCAAUAAUAAAGUAGAAUUACAGUAGUCCUUGUGGAGUCAGUUUCCAGAUCUGGCCUACCUUGCAGGGUUGACAGGAUGUAGCUCCAUGCCUCUUUCUCCCAAGGGAAUAUGGCCUUGUAGCCAACUGCUAAUGUUUGAAGGAAGAAAUAGAUAUUUAUUAACCCCCAAUGUUGUAACAAAUUUGUUUUUUUUUGAAUGCUGGGUAUUUUAAUCAAUGCAAACUCUAACCUGUUUUUAAAUUUUUUAUCUGCUGUUUUGUCUCUGUUACUGUGUGGUAUUUGUCUGUCCUUGAGUUGGAGGUCAGAGGUCUCCUGUGUGAUGGAAGAACUAUCUGUACUUUGGUGCCUGCUGAUGGUUCUCAUGAAUGAGAAAGUCAGGACGGAGUCAUUUGGAAGGGCUGGCUGGGUUGAUGUUGCCCUCAUUCUACGGGUACUCCACCUCAACAUGCAUAAAAAAAGUGCACUAGAGCUGGUGUACUUUAUUCCUUCCCACUGCAUUCAAUGAAAUUUUUUUAAAAAAGGAGAAAAGGCUGUCAGCCAUUACAAGUUGGAAAAGUUUUGGAUGGGAUCAUGGCCACAGUGCAUUUAACCAGUUAAAGGUUUGCACUUGGAUAAUCUGAGAAGAAAGAAGAAAUAAAUGCAUUUCUACUACUGGUGCCUUAAGAAGCAAAAGCGAAAGGAAUCUGAACCUGUCCAAGUCUGUCAAAAGUGAGUUGGUUGCUUUUGAAGGGAGAAUAAAAGAAAGGUUCGCAAAGAUGAAAGAGGAGAUGAAAGAAGAAGUUAUGAAAAGAGUUGAAGAAUCUAAAAGGCAUCUUAUGGGAGAAGUUAAACAAAUCAAUGACAAAGGGGAAAUUUUAGAAAGUAAAAUAGAAAUAAUAAACUGAAAGAAAGAAAAGUACUUAGACAAUUUGGCAUUACUGGAAUUGAGAGAAGAAGAAUUCUGCCUGAGAUUUAGAGCAGUUCCAGAGGAUCCUGGAGAAUGCACUAGAGAAAAGAUUGUUCAAUCCCUAACAAUUUUUUUGGAACAGGAUGAAGACGAUAUGGAGGCAGAAGUUGACACAGUCUAUAGAAUCAACACGCGAUUUGCAAAACUAAGAAAUGUACCAAGGGGUAUUCAUCUGUACUUGGUCAGAAAGAAGACCAGAGAUCAAGUUUUGCAGCAGCAUUUCACUACCAGACUGAAGAAUAAUAAUGCAGAUGUGACUAUCCUUAAAGAAAUUCCAAUUAGAAUACUGCGUAAACAAAAAGAGUACUUCUUUUUGACUGACAAACUCAAUCAGAAAAAGGAAGGAGUGAUCAUGAACAGAGGUUCAGGCUGAAUUCAGUCCAAAAAAUAAAGAGAAUUUCUGGAAAAGUUUAAAGGGGAACUGGAAGAAAUGCAAACGGAAGUGACAAAAAGCUCUGACCCCUAAACAGCUACAAUAAGAAACGGAGGAGACUACCACGCCAGGCACUACAGGUAUCGACUUUUCUAUGUUUUGGCAUAAAUAUGGAUUUUAAAUGCGCAUCGUGGGAUAUAAAUGGAGCAAAUGCUCCUCAAGAAAGAAAAAAAAAAUCAUCACUGUAUUAAAAAAAAUUGAAACAAGAUGUAGUUUGUCUUGAAGAAAUGCACAUUAGAAAAAAGGAUAUAAAAUAUUUGAUCUGCAAAAAUUUGGGUGAAGAAUUUAUUUCAGGGGGAAUUAAAAAGAGAAAUGGAGUUGUUUUGUAUAUAAACCCCAAAAUGUAACCAGAACUGAUACUGACUGAGUAUGGUAGAUAUGUUGGGGGUGGAAGCUACUUUGCUGGGAGCCAAGACUUUGAUAAUGGGAAUUUAUGCUCCAAAUGAGCAUAAAGUAACUUUUUACAAAGGAUUUAUGGGCGAACUAAUGGACUUACCAUAUGAAAAUUAGUAUUUAAUGGGAGGUUGGAAAGGAACAAAAGGACAGAACCUCUGAGAAAGAUAUUAAAACAACACAAGGUAAAUUACCAAAAGUUUUUUUAUAUGAUAGACAAUCUGGAGCAUGUAGAUGCAUAGACAUAUAAAAAUGGUGAUG
Candoia aspera is the source of this 6762-nucleotide long non-coding RNA. RefSeq lists it as uncharacterized. The transcript has 4 exons. The record is from RefSeq and is a predicted model, not a curated record. Lineage: Eukaryota; Metazoa; Chordata; Lepidosauria; Squamata; Candoiidae.